AAGGGGCAGUAAGGCAUGGGUACCUACCUUGGGGUUCGGGAUAGCCACCAGAGAUGGUGGGUAAUACCGGAUGACCUCGUGAGAGCAAAGGUCCGCCGCCCUGAGAGGGGUCCAUGUGAUAUUAGCUAGUUGGUGAGGUAACGGCUCACCAAGGCGAAGAUGUCUAGCGGGUGUGAGAGCACGACCCGCGCCACUCGCACUGAGACACUGGCGAGACACCUACGGGUGGCUGCAGUCGAGGAUCUUCGGCAAUGGGGGCAACCCUGACCGAGCGAUGCCGCGUGAGCGAUGAAGGCCUUCGGGUUGUAAAGCUCGAAAGUGGGGAGAAACGCCGAAAGGCUUGAUCUAUCCACAGUAAGCUCGGGCUAAGUUCGUGCCAGCAGCCGCGGUAAGACGAACCGAGCGAACGUUGUUCGGAAUCACUGGGCUUAAAGGGCGCGUAGGCGGGCUGUCAAGUUUGGGGUGAAAUCCCGCGGCUCAACCGUGGAACUGCCUCAAAUACUGACGGUCUCGAGGGAGAUAGGGGCAAGCGGAACUGAUGGUGGAGCGGUGAAAUGCGUUGA
This 563-nucleotide ribosomal RNA is filed under the name uncultured Gemmata sp. RNAcentral's name for it is "bacterial SSU rRNA". It matches the Rfam family "Bacterial small subunit ribosomal RNA", at positions 102 to 694 of the family's 1533-position model. The record is from RNAcentral. Lineage: Bacteria; Pseudomonadati; Planctomycetota; Planctomycetia; Gemmatales; Gemmataceae.